AUGGUGUCUAUAUAGAUACCCAGUGAUACAAUUCUCAGAUACACUGCUGCACAGACGUCCUGCAGACACAAUAAAAGUGGUCUACGUACUGAUUCGCAGAUUCACUGUUCUUCAUGGGGUGUCUACUUGUGUGUUUGGCCGUCCUGCUCUUUAUGAGUGGAACGGCAACAGGACAAACUACUACAACAUCAGAAAGCAUGUUCCCAUACAUAAUACAAGAUACAUCAACAUCAACACCAGAUACAUCAACAUCAACCCCAACACCAGAUACAUCAACAUCUACACCAGAUACAUCAACAUCAACCCCAACACCAGAUACAUCAACAUCAACAUCAACACCAUAUACAUCAACAUCAACCCCAAC
Long non-coding RNA from Ictalurus punctatus (channel catfish), 364 nucleotides. RefSeq lists it as uncharacterized. Lineage: Eukaryota; Metazoa; Chordata; Actinopteri; Siluriformes; Ictaluridae. The record is from RefSeq and is a predicted model, not a curated record. The transcript has 10 exons.